CGGUGUUCAACUGGCGUGUCCGCGGGACGUCCUGCCGGUGGGCUUAGCCCGCAAGGGCGGCCCAACUUCAAAUCCCAUCGCGGUGCUCUUCACUGAGUGUCGAGGUGGGCCGGCACGUUUACUUUGAACAAAUUAGAGUGCUUAAAGCAGGCUAAAACUUCGCCUGAAUACUGUGUGCAUGGAAUAAUGGAAUAGGACCUCGGUUCUAUUUUGUUGGUUUUCGGAACCCCGAGGUAAUGAUUAAUAGGAACGGAUGGGGGCAUUCGUAUUGCGACGUUAGAGGUGAAAUUCUUGGAUCGUCGCAAGACGGACAGAAGCGAAAGCAUUUGCCAAAAACGCUUUCAUUGAUCAAGAACGAAAGUUAGAGGUUCGAAGGCGAUCAGAUACCGCCCUAGUUCUAACCAUAAACGAUGCCAGCUAGCGAUCCGUCGACGUUCCUCCGAUGACUCGACGGGCAGCUUCCGGGAAACCAAAGCUUUUGGGUUCCGGGGGAAGUAUGGUUGCAAAGCUGAAACUUAAAGGAAUUGACGGAAGGGCACCACCAGGAGUGGAGCCUGCGGCUUAAUUUGACUCAACACGGGAAACCUCACCAGGCCCGGACACCGGAAGGAUUGACAGAUUGAGAGCUCUUUCUUGAUUCGGUGGGUGGUAGUGCAUGGCCGUUCUUAGUUGGUGGAGCGAUUUGUCUGGUUAAUUCCGAUAACGAACGAGACUCUAGCCUGCUAACUAGGCGUAUUUUCGACAUCUCAAAGGUCCGUCGUCCCGGCCCUCGGGUCGUGGGCGUGCGCGAUUUUUACUGUCGGCGUACUAUCAAUUCUUCUUAGAGGGACAGGUGGCUUCUAGCCGCACGAGAUUGAGCAAUAACAGGUCUGUGAUG
This 877-nucleotide ribosomal RNA is filed under the name uncultured eukaryote. RNAcentral's name for it is "SSU rRNA". It matches the Rfam family "Eukaryotic small subunit ribosomal RNA", at positions 636 to 1469 of the family's 1831-position model. The record is from RNAcentral.